Non-coding RNA from Camellia sinensis, 5047 nucleotides. The record is from RefSeq and is a predicted model, not a curated record. NCBI's taxonomy places the organism in Eukaryota, Viridiplantae, Streptophyta, Magnoliopsida, Ericales, Theaceae.
AGAACGUGUCUGAGGAGCGCAUGGUGUCAUCUCCCCACCUUCUAUCCACUAUAGAUGGGCACAUCAUUAGCAUCACGCAACCCAUGAUUGCUAGGGUGUUAGGUCUCUAUAACGAGCGAGAAGGCCAUCCAUUCCCCGAAUUUGUGGAUAAUCAACCCAUACCCCACAUCAUCCAAGAAUUUUUUCUGCGAGCCUAUGGUGAUCCUAAUUUCACGUUCUUGCGCCAAAGCAAGCUACCUGCUCACUUAUUAUUCCUGGUCUUUGGUGUUGUAUAAGAAUACCCUUCCACUUGGGCACAAAGCUAAGCGCCGAAAGGAGUUUAUGCGAGUCUUACAUUGUUACCAGCAUGGUUACCAAGUAAACCUUCAGCACGUGAUUUGGGUGCACAUGCAGAAAUUUAUGCGGGAAGUCAUUCAGCCUCAACCCUUGUCGAACACAACUUGGUCCCUGCCCUUUGCCAACCUGCUCGCGCUCCUCUUCCAGCUGAACAACCUUUCGAUUGAUUCGGCUGAGGAGACCGACCUUGCCUACUCGAUUUUUAGCCAGCAAGAAUGGUAGCACAGCUUAUCCCAGAUACCACUACAGGGCGGUGUACUGAUUGCUGAGGCAGAUGAUUCCAUUCAUGGCCCACCCCCUCCUGCCCUUUUUGUGCCUUCCCAAGGGGAGCCCAUGUACAUGACUCGAGAGAAGUACUUGCAUCUUCAACACUCAGUGGAUCAAGUCCACAGUACUCUUCAGGAUCACCACCAUCUUCUCAUGGGAUUGCGCACGGAUUAUCAGGCGUAUUGGGAUCAUUCACAAGCGACAUUCGACCAAAUCAAUGCCAAACAGCUUAACUAUCAGCAGUCAGUUGCAUCCAUACAAACUGACUUUUAUGCGUAUCGGGAUUUGAGCCAGCAGUGUUUUGACCAGCUCAGCGCUUGGGUUCAUGAUGAAGCAUUCGAGACUCGGACAUUGAUGCACACCUUGUUUGAGUAGCAUUUUCCACUACCGCCACCGCCGUUAGUAAUAGACUAUUUUUUUUCUGUCUUCAUUUAUUUUUAUUUCUCUUUCUCUUAAAAAAAAAAGGGGGGGACGUGUGUGUUGUGUUCGUAUCUGCCUAGCUGGAUGUGCACCUACAAUGUCUGACAUGUCGGCUAGUGAUGACUUUGCUACUAUCCUUAGGUGCCAUCGCACACGUCCCCACAACUCUCAAUUCCAGCAAUAUGAUGACAAGUUCCCAGUGACUCAUCUCUUCCAGACUCAUUUUCCAGAUCGUGCGGGUGAUGCUAGUCACACUUUGGUUUGCCGUCACAAUUUGCCACCUCGCCUCUAGUUGAUUGCUGUCUUUUUCCGGCGGAAUGUCAUCCCUUUGGGGCAUAAGGAGGAGCGUCGCGGUGCUUUUAUUCGGGCUCUUCAUCACUUUGAGUUCGACUUUUGGGUGGAUGUUUCAAAGCUUAUUUGGGAUCAGAUGUACAAAUCAUGACCGAUGUGCAAAUCAAGCAAACCAGGAGCUCUCAAACUUGGCCUCUUCCCUUCGCUAACUUGAUCACUUACCUCUUCCGCCGUUACUCAAGCUUCUGGUUUGAUCUCGAGGAGGUGGCCAUUGAGGAGGUCUUGCAGUACACCGAGCAGACUUGGCUUCACAGUUUGUCUCACAUGCCCCCCUUCGAUGCAGCCUCCUACUGGCCAUGCUAGCACUAAGGGUGUGGGCAAUGAUGUUCCCAUGGCUGAACCUGCCCCUGGCGCUACUGCCCACGCCUCUGCUGAUCCCCUUGCAUCCAUCUUUAUGACUCGUGCUGACUAUGAGGCCCUUCAUUAUGAGCACAUCUGCAUUCAAUAGUUUUUGGAUACCCUUCAGACCGAUUUCUAUGCUUACCGGGACGUCUCAGCAACGCUAUGAUGUCUCUCAGGCAUAUAUGCAGCAGUCCUUCAUUGAUAUGUAGUCCCAUAUCUGCCAGAACGCUUUUGAGACUCUGUCUCUUAUGCGUUCUGUUCUUGCGGAGUACCACCCACCGCUGCCACUGCUGCCUCAAUGACACCCUACUUAUUUCUGCCAUGUUCUUGUCAAGCUAUGGUCUUCCACUGUUGGUCAUGCUCCACUGUUGGGGGUGUUUCUCUCAUCUCUUCUUCCACUUUCGAUGGUUUUGAGUAAAAUUUACAAGGCCGAUUGUGCGUGGGACACAAGAGAAGGAGAAUUACGUCAAACAGUAUAGGUCAAACAUUGUGUCUUUGAUAAAAUGGGAGAACAAGAGUUUAGUGUUCAUCACAUUGUAGCCUUCAAGAAAAUGCCUUUCUGGUUAUUGUUCAGGUCGUUUCGAAAGAAACCAGUGGAGGUGAGGAAAUUUAGGAAGGUAGAUGAUGAUGUUGUCAUGGUCAUCAAGUCUUAUUGGAGUGAUUUGAAGGGAUUCAAAUUAGACCCUAAAGUGGUUGACACACACGAUAGUGAUGUGAGCUUGAUAUUUGGGAUACAACCGGGAAAGAAGAAAAUAGAUAUGUGACAUGUCAUCAUAUGUGAAAAAAUCAGACAUACCUUUUGUGCGGAGAAGAUUCUCUAAUGUACAGAGAAUAUUUGUAAAGAUUCUGAAAUCAGCAUGAGGACGUGCAAUGAGAAGUGAAAGGAGAGUUGAUGUUAGGGACGUUGCUAGGAUUCUGUGUUUGUUUGUUUGUUUGCACGACUUUGCUAUUUGCAACAACCGAUUAAACAAUUGGAUGGAAUUUUAUCAAGUUUGUGGAAGAUUUGGAAAGCAAGACUACAUAUGCAUGGUCCACUAUAAUUAAACAGCAGUGAUUGGGACCUCUAAAUUUGCACCACUAAACUAGCUCUAAUGAGUUGGAAAAAAAAAAAAAAAAAAAAAAAAUGAAAAAAAAAAAAUGAGAACACGAGCAAAACAUCCCAUCACGUGAGACCCAUACCAACAUUAGAGCUAUUAGUGCUCUUGGAUUGGAGGUCUCAGACAUUUCUCAUAAUUAAAUCCACAUUGACAUCCUCAAUUGAGUCUUCUGCAUCCAUCAAAUGUUACUGGAUGUGUUAUUCUACUUUUGCAUUGGAUGUGUGAGCAUACUACUAUUCUGCAACUUGACAAGCAAAAUUUGUCUCGAAGGUUCCUUCGAUGGGACCUAUCAAAGCUCAGGAAGAAGUUCUUGAAGCGAUCAUUAAAGAAACUAAAAGCUGAUGAGGUUAAUGAGGUUGAACUCGAGCCUAUUUUAACAUAAGAGAAUAAGCUCAUCUUGGGUGUUGGAAAGCAAGAUGAAGAGGAUAAUGGAGAAAGUAUAGAGACUGAAGAAGACUGUGAAGCGGAGGAGGAAAAUGAGGAAGAUGAAGCUGAGGAAGACAGUGAUGAUGAAGAAAAUGAUGAUGGAGGUGAGAAGAACGAUGAAGAACAAUCUGAGGAAGUAACUGGGGAGGAGGACAGUGAUGAAAAUGAACCAGCAGAGAACACAAUGAAGCUGCGGAGGAAGCACAAGAGCACGACGAUGAUGUGCGUCGUAAGGAUUUCACUGAAUGUGAGACGAUGGAAAAAAUUCGGAUGGAAAACAAAAAGAUAAAAAAUGAGAUGUGACAAUGGUUGAAGAGAUUAAAGAGAAUGAGGGAAACAAUGGACAAAUACCAAGAACAAGCACAAAAAAUCAACCAAAUGUUGCAAGAGACUGAGGAAAUAAAAAGGGGCAUGAAGCAACUAGAAGAUGAAAAAGAAGAAUUGUUUGAGCAACUACAAGAGGUUACCGUACAUAAUGCAACACAGAAUAUCUUGAAAUCAAUGAGUGGAAUGGCACAUGUUGAGCAGGAGCCACAAGAGAUCACACCUUCUCCGGCUGGAUUGAAAGCAGUUCCUUUAAUGGUCGAGCUUUUGCAAACUUCUAUGGUUCGGAAAAUCAAAAUUAAGGAAAGGAAGAAAAAGGAAAUUUCUGGAUUUGAAUAUGAAGAACAAGGGAGAAAGAAAAGAAGGUAGAUAAAAGAUGUAAGCAAAGAAGCAAGACCUGCAAAUGAAGGGGAGGAACAUAGGCAGAUCAUACCUUUUGUGGGACCAUUGAAGGGAACCACUACAGUACCUGAUCCAGUACCUGCAACAAUAAUGGCAAAGCCAAAAAAACAGCAAAAAAGAAGCUCAAAAAUAAACUGAGAACAAAGACAUGAAUUGCUUGAUGUGGACAAGAUGCCUCUAAGUCAACCAAAACCACAUAACUAGAUUGUCUACUCCACUGAGGCUGCAAGUGUCAAAGUCCUUGACAAACAGGAUGUGCUUCUACUGAAGAAGAUCUACAAAUUGGGAUCAUCAGAGUAAGACAACCUUAAUUUGCUUUAUAAAAUAGAAUUUUAAACAUUUUAAAUUUAAUCAUAUUCUUUUUUUAUUAUCAAUGCAAUUAUAUGGUCCGGGAGGACAGAUGGAAUAUUUGUCACACUGCAUGAUAUCCAUGUAAUUCUCAAGGAUGUUGAUGUUGCAAAUAAUCUCAUUGAUAGUUUUGCAAAAAUACUUGUGAAUGGGCAUGAUGCAAUUCACCCACAUAAGUCAUUGUGCUGGUCACUAGUGAAAUGAAAGUACGGGAAGAUGAGGGAACAUCCACUGGACAGAUACCUGGAGGCAUAUCUCAGCAAGUAUAUGUUUCUAUUCUUUAUAAUGAACUCCAAUUGGAAUGCAAAGGAUGAAGUUCCAUAUCAUUGGACAUUGCUUGUUUUGGACAACCAAGGAUGAAGUUCCAUCUUUUAUUGUUUGUUAUCUCAUGCACCAACUUGCCAAAUAUAAACCUAUUGCAAAAGAGUUGGACGACAACAAAAUGAAUGAUUUUCGAGCAACAUUGGUGCAUGAGUUCUUAAAUGAUCAUCCGAGAUCGUGGACCGAAGAAGACUACAAAAGUAAGAAUGUGAAAAUGAAAGCAUGACAUCGCAAAGGAUGAUGCCAAUGAAACAACAAAUAGAAUUUAGAAAAAACAAUAUAGCUUUUUGAGAAAUAUCUUGGAUGUUGUAAAUGGUGUAAAAGAUGUAAGUAGGGUUUUACUUUUUUUUUUUUUUUUGGUAAAUGAUAUUUUGGAAAGGAUAUUAAAGGAUGAUAUAUAUAUAUAUAAUGGA